This 507-nucleotide ribosomal RNA is filed under the name uncultured bacterium. RNAcentral's name for it is "partial 16S ribosomal RNA". It matches the Rfam family "Bacterial small subunit ribosomal RNA", at positions 28 to 507 of the family's 1533-position model. The record is from RNAcentral.
GACGAACGCUGGCGGCGUGCCUAAUACAUGCAAGUCGAACGCAUUUUCUUUCACCGUAGCUUGCUACACCGACAGACAAUGAGUGGCGAACGGGUGAGUAACCCGUGGUUGACCUGCCCAUCAGCGGGGGAUAACACUUGGAAACAGGUGCUAAUACCGCAUAAUUCCAUUUACUGCAUGGUAGAUGGAUGAAAGGCGCUUUUGCGUCCCUGAUGGCUGGACCCUCGGUGCUUUAGCUAGUUGGUGGGGUCACGGCCUACCAUGGCUGCGAUGCAUAGCCGACCUGAGAGGGUGAUCGGCCACACUGGGACUGAGACACGGCCCAGACCUCUACGGGAGGCAGCAGGAGGGAAUCUUCGGCAAUGGACGCAAGUCUGACCGAGCAACGCCGCGUGAGUGAAGAAGGUUGUCGGAUCGUAAAACUCUGUUGUUAGAAAAGAACAAGGAUGGGAGUGGAAAGUUCAUCCCUUGACGGUAUCUAACCAGAAAGCCACGGCUAACUACGUG